AACAUGUCUUUUUGAUUUUAAUUUAAAGUCUAAUCUGCCCACUGAUUUAUUAAAGGGCUGCAGUAAUUUGACUGUACAAAGGUAGCAUAAUCAUUAGCCUUUUAAUUGAAGGCUUGUAUGAAAGAUUUGAUGAAAUAUAAACUGUCUCUAAUUUAAAAUUAAAAUUUAAUUUUUUAGUUAAAAAGCUAAAAUAAUUUUAAAAGACGAGAAGACCCUAUAGAGUUUUAUAAUUAAUAAUUUUAAAUAAUUAUAUAAAAUUUUAAUAUUUAAUAUUAUUCAUUAUUUUAUUGGGGUGAUAAAAAAAUUUAAUUAACUUUUUUUCUUGUUUAUCAAAAAUAAAUGAUUAAUUGAUCCUGUUUAAAGAUUAAAAGAAAUAAUUACCUUAGGGAUAACAGCGUAAUAUUUUUUUUUAGUACAAAUAAAAAAAAAAGUUUGCGACCUCGAUGUUGGAUUAAGAUAAAAUUUAAAUGCAAAAGUUUAAAAUUUUGAUCUGUUCGAUCAUUAAAAUCUUACAUGAUC
RNAcentral lists this ribosomal RNA (519 nucleotides) under Euchrysops cnejus. RNAcentral describes it as "partial 16S ribosomal RNA". The stretch from base 388 to 519 matches the Rfam family "Archaeal large subunit ribosomal RNA", at positions 2542 to 2674 of the family's 2987-position model. The record is from RNAcentral. Lineage: Eukaryota; Metazoa; Arthropoda; Insecta; Lepidoptera; Lycaenidae.